UGAUGGGAAAUAUAUAACACCUGAGCAUACAUUCUUUUAGUAAUCUCAACCUGCCAAAAUAUAACAUAUAGGCAAUUCAAAAAAUCUGUUUUUUUUAAGCAGUUGAUAUUUUAGUUUUCAGUUAUCUUUUUCUCUUGCAAGCCUAUAAAAAUGAUGACACACUUGUUCUCUGAACUAAUGUUGUUCCUCUCUAUCCGACCCUCAUGUAUUGACCUGGUGUCAAGUUUUUUUUCCCGACUGAUGUUUUGGGAUUUUCCUGGCAGAGAUAUAAUUUUGUCUUUUCGAUAGGCAGGAACCAAGGCGCCUAGACAGCCAUGGCAUGAUUUGCAUUGCAAGAUCGAAGGACCUGCCGCAUAUGAUGUACUCACAAACUUUGAGCAGCGGUGGAGAAAAGCCACAAAAUGGUCAGAGUUUGGAAGACGUUUGAAAAAGAUAUCUCAUUGGCACGACGAUGCUUUGAUCAAAAUAGAAAGAAUUUCUUGGAUUACAAGUCCUUCCUCCUCUGUUCCAAAUGAUGACCAAUCUUUGUGGGUUUCCAAAGAAGACGAUCCUGAAAACUGGCAUGUUCAGGUUCGUAGGAACUAACGUUUUUCUUCACAAAGGAAAAUAUUGAGUCAUUGAUUAGAUUUAACUAAGUUACAGCUAACACUAUGUUGUUUGAAUGCUUACAGGUCUUUCGAUCUAUUGACUCAGGGUCCUUGAAAGGAUUUCCAAAAGAUGUUCUUUUGGCUGAAUCACAGGUGCAUACUCUCGUAGCUUCUUGUUUCUUGAAGUCCAUACUGAAAGUUGAAUGUCACAUGCCAUCUUUAUAUAACGUUGGUUUUGAAUUUGCUUAACUUUCUAAAAGGUCCUUGACAUUUUUCAUUGCAGAACCUUGUCUGUGCAAAAAAUUUGGUGAUUGAUAGAAGCAUCCAGAUGGCAUAUAUUCAAGCAAUUAGACAGGCACAGCAUUUUAUCUAUAUUGAAAAUCAAUAUUUCCUUGGGUCAUCAUAUGCUUGGCCUUCAUACAAAGAAGCAGGUUUAUCAUCUUUAUUCGGAAUGAUUGUUGUUCCUAAUCUAAUUUAGCAUCAUUUAUCUUCUUCUGUGCUUUUGGAUUGUCAAAGGAAAGAAAGAACCAUAACUGCCUUGAGAUAUAAUACAAAUCCAAUGUCUCUGACUAAUGGAGGUUUUUCUCAUUUUAUGUUUGGUUGGGUUAAAGAGGAGGGUUAGGUGGAAGGUGAAUAAGAUGGAUUGGAAGGAUCAUUUACCUUGUUUAAUCAUAUGAAUAAAUAACAGGGUAAAGUAAAUUUGUAGGCCAUGGUACCCUGCUACUUCAGAAGUUGUGAUGCCUUCAGUUUUGGAGAGAAAUAUUGUGAUUUUGAUCACAAAUAGUUAAAUUACCCUCAUGAUUCAAAUCCCCCUCUUCAUAAAAAGAUAGGUGAUUUCUUCCCAUUUGUUUACGCAUUGGUGGAUAGAGUUAGUUGGUACUUGUGCUGGUGAGGUACCAGAGGAUUAGUCAAGAUUUUUACUUGUACAUUCAUUUAAACUUAAUAUGGAGAAUAACCCCUUUUAAGUGAACAAUGGUAAUCCACUUCUUUCCCCUACAUUUUAACCAAACAAAGUGUUAAAGACAUACUAUGAGUCGAAAUUCAUCAUUGCAUGCCUAUUGUUUUUUCACCCAAUAAUGUCCAUUAACAUGAAUCAUAUUAGAAAAACAUGAAUCAUCUCUACUCAAGGAGUUGUACCUUAAUGAGGCUGUUUGGUCACCUAGACUACGCCAGUGAAGAGCGGUUUCCUUGGUUCUGUGUGCAACUCUUUUUGGCUCCAUCUUUUUUUGUUCCCUCACAAGUGUUUGCUUGUACUUUAGGUGCUGAUAAUUUAAUUCCCAUGGAGCUUGCAUUAAAAAUAGCCAGCAAAAUUCGGGCAAAAGAGCGAUUUGCUGUUUAUAUUGUCAUUCCAAUGUGGCCCGAGGGAGUCCCCACUUCUGCCUCAGUGCAAGAAAUUCUGUAUUGGCAGGUUAUGCAGCAUACUAUUCUUUAAAUGUCAGCAUUGUGUGUACUUCUUGAGUAUUGUAAUCAAUAAAAUAAGAAUGUGAUUUAACUUGAUUGAUGAAAAGAGUGAUACACAUUGUUCAACUUUUCAGAUUACAGUGCAUGAUUUGGUAUUUCUUGCCCCUAACACGGGGAUAAGUGAGCGAAAUGUGAUAAUCUAAUUAGUUUGGUGGAUAAUUGAAUAUUUUGAGAAUAUAUCUACUUGUAGAGGUCCUCCUUUAAGUUUGGUGCUCCUCCUCUUUUAGUUGUUUCUCUGUUUUUUCUUCUCUUUUGGAUGUGAUCAACACUUUCUUAGUUCUAUUGCCAUUUCCAAAAAAGAAAAGAAAAAGUCCUUUUUGUUGCUGAAGGCUACUGACAAUUCCAUUACAGUUCUUGUACUUCAGUUUUACUUCGUUUAAUAUGUUGAGUUUGUUGUAGUUUGAUGCCAGCAACGGGUGAUAUGCCUAUCAAAGAUUAUUCUCAGUUACUAAGAGACUAUCUCUUUUGCUGCUAUUCUCAUUAUUGUGUUUCUCUUGCAGAGGCAAACUAUGAAAAUGAUGUAUGGAAUCAUCGCUCAAGAGCUAAAAUCUUCUCAACUUCAAGAUGUACAACUUUCUGACUACUUAAACUUCUAUUGUCUGGGCAAUCGAGAAGAAUUACGUGGAGAAUCAAAGUCUAACUAUGCUUCAAAUGGCGAUUUGGUAGGAAUCUUUAUUCUCAUUAUAUCUGCUAAUUGUUAUGCUACCCUUUCGCUAAACAAUGCUUUAAAAUCUACCUGAUGUUUUUUGGAAUUAAAUGUGGUUCGAUAUACUUAAGGAUACCCUCUUUUCCUUCAGUUCGGCUACUUGUCUAACUAUAUGUGCUUGACUGUGAAUUUCUGAUCAUUGAAACAAUCUUUUAAGCAAAAGUUUGAAACGUGUUUGUCACUUUAUAUACUCUGUACGCACAAGUAUCUAUGCUAGUUUUCUGGAUUAAAAGAAAUAAAACUAUUCUAACUAGUGAAUGGAACAUUGGAACUAGAUUUACUUUUCUGUAAUUUGAUCAUUUCAUGACAUUGGCUGAGUCACAUCAAGUCAUCUGUACUACAUUAUAAACCAAGAGAAUAUCUUUAACAACAUUUGACAAGUUAUAGGAACUGCCUCUCAAAUAUUUCCGAAGAACUAAUAGAGUAGCACAGUAGUAUUUGGAUCUAUUUUUUCUUUUGUAUGUUAAAUAUGAUAGAAGUACACCAAAUUGGUGUGAUUUACAAAAGAAAUCACAAAAGAUUCAGAUAUGGUUGUAUGAAUCUUUUGAAAAUCCUACACUAUUUCAUUAUAGAUAUCCUUGUAUGUCCUUUUCUUACUUGAGCCGAGGAUCUACCGAAAAGAGCCUCUCUACCUUCACAAGUUAGGGGUAAGGCUGUGUUGUUGUUGUUGUUAUAGAUAGACUUGUAAGUGCACAUAAUGAUGAGGACUAAUUUUGCCAUGAAACUGCCAUCAGAUUUCAGCUUCACAGAAAUUUGGACGGUUUAUGAUUUAUGUACAUGCCAAGGGGAUGAUAGUGGAUGAUGAGUAUGUCAUUUUAGGAUCUGCCAAUAUUAACCAAAGAUCUAUGGCUGGUUCAAGAGACACAGAGAUAGCUAUGGGUGCAUAUCAACCUCAUCACACUUGGGCUAUGAAGAAAAGGCAUCCACAUGGCCAGGUCCGUGAAUCUCCUUCCCCUAAUAAAGCAAACUAGAACAUUAUCAUUUUGAUCAAAACUAUCAAAUCUUAACCAAUAGCAGGAAAUUUUUUGUUAAUCAUGCUACCAUGUCUAUAAAAGGAUCUUCUUGACAACUACAACUACAUGAAGAGGCGGAUAGAUCUUCUAUUUGAUGUGUUGAACUGAACUCAGUAUUUUCAACACUGAACUUAGAUAUUGAUGUGAAAAAAAAUCAGUAACAUUGCAAUAAAUAUUACCUUCUAAACACCUAAAUGCUGAAAUCACAUUUGAAUUCUGGAUCCGCCUUUGGCUGCAGGUAUAUGGUUAUAGAAUGUCUCUAUGGGCAGAGCACAUGGGCAAGUUAGACGAUAUCUUCACAAAGCCAGAAAGUUUGAACUGCGUGAAGCAUGUAAAUGAGGUUGCUGAAGAUAACUGGAAUAGAUUUACAGCUGACGAAUUCAAACCUUUACAAGGUCAUCUUCUCAAGUAUCCAGUCCAAGUAGGUACUGAUGGGAAAGUAAAUUCCUUGCCUGGUCAUGAAUAUUUUCCUGAUGUUGGUGGUAAAAUACUAGGAGCUCGAACCAAUCUUCCUGAUGCUUUAACCACAUAACUCUUCCCGUCUUCCGGUUUUGUAA
This 4324-nucleotide long non-coding RNA is filed under the name Solanum tuberosum (potato). RNAcentral's name for it is "long non-coding RNA (STUB_LNC005280)". Lineage: Eukaryota; Viridiplantae; Streptophyta; Magnoliopsida; Solanales; Solanaceae. The record is from RNAcentral.